RNAcentral lists this ribosomal RNA (253 nucleotides) under uncultured bacterium. RNAcentral describes it as "partial 16S ribosomal RNA". It matches the Rfam family "Bacterial small subunit ribosomal RNA", at positions 524 to 776 of the family's 1533-position model. The record is from RNAcentral.
UACAGGGGGGGCAAGCGUUGUUCGGAAUUACUGGGCGUAAAGGGCUCGUAGGUGGCCAACUAAGUCAGACGUGAAAUCCCUCAGCUUAACUGGGGAACUGCGUCUGAUACUGGAUGGCUUGAGUUUGGGAGAGGGAUGCGGAAUUCCAGGUGUAGCGGUGAAAUGCGUAGAUAUCUGGAGGAACACCGGUGGCGAAGGCGGCAUCCUGGACCAACACUGACACUGAGGAGCGAAAGUCAGGGGAGCAAACGGG